Molecule: ribosomal RNA, 502 nt
Filed under: uncultured bacterium
Lineage: Bacteria
Description: partial 16S ribosomal RNA
Rfam family: Bacterial small subunit ribosomal RNA
Source: RNAcentral
AUUGAGCGCUGGCGGCGUGCCUAACACAUGCAAGUCGAGCGGUAACAGGUGUAGCAAUACAUGCUGACGAGCGGUGAACGGGUGAGUAAUGCUUCGGAAUCUACCUUAUGGUGGGGAAUAACUAGCCGAAAGGUUAGCUAAUACCGCAUACGUCCUACGGGAGAAAGCAGGGGAUCGCAAGACCUUGCGCCAAAAGAUGAGCCGAAGUCGGAUUAGCUAGUUGGUAGGGUAACGGCCUACCAAGGCGACGACCCGUAGCUGGUCUGAGAGGACGACCAGCCACACUGGGACUGAGACACGGCCCAGACUCCUACGGGAGGCAGCAGUGGGGAAUAUUGGACAAUGGGGGAAACCCUGAUCCAGCGACGCCGCGUGUGUGAAGAAGGCCUGCGGGUUGUAAAGCACUUUUAGUGGGGAUGAAAUGUGCAGGGUUAAUACCUCUGCAUUUUGACCUAACCCACAGAAAAAGCACCGGCUAACUCUGUGCCAGCCGCCGCCGUAA